RNAcentral lists this ribosomal RNA (468 nucleotides) under uncultured bacterium. Its description in RNAcentral is "partial 16S ribosomal RNA". It matches the Rfam family "Bacterial small subunit ribosomal RNA", at positions 28 to 507 of the family's 1533-position model. The record is from RNAcentral.
GACGAACGCUGGCGGCGUGCUUAACACAUGCAAGUCGAACGGAAAGGCCCUGCUUUUGUGGGGUGCUCGAGUGGCGAACGGGUGAGUAACACGUGAGUAACCUGCCCUUGACUUUGGGAUAACUUCAGGAAACUGGGGCUAAUACCGGAUAGGAGCUCCUGCUGCAUGGUGGGGGUUGGAAAGUUUCGGCGGUUGGGGAUGGACUCGCGGCUUAUCAGCUUGUUGGUGGGGUAGUGGCUUACCAAGGCUUUGACGGGUAGCCGGCCUGGGAGGGUGACCGGCCACAUUGGGACUGAGAUACGGACCAGACUCCUACGGGAGGCAGCAGUGGGGAAUAUUGCACAAUGGGCGGAAGCCUGAUGCAGAAACGCCGCGUGCGGGAUGACGGCCUUCGGGUUGUGAACCGCUUUCGCCUGUGACGAAGCGUGAGUGACGGUAAUGGGUAAAGAAGCACCGGCUAACUACGUG